CCUGAGUCCACAGUCUGCACAAGGUUUCACUCUUGGUGUCGUAUAUGCUGUGACUUCAGACAAAUGCAAUGGGGAUAUAGUGAAGAAGAAAAUAAACAUGGCCUCGUCCUCUUGGACUUUGUAGUCAAAUGAGAAGACAGGCAAUUAAAAAGCAACUGUAAUGGAAUAAGCUUCGUUGGGUGAUGUCAGAAGGGCCACAAAACCAUUGACCAUGUGAUAAUGUGAUGAAACCAUUUAUCACGACUAUAAGAAGAGGCCAAAUAACUCGAGAAUAC
This 275-nucleotide long non-coding RNA is filed under the name Mustela putorius furo (domestic ferret). RNAcentral describes it as "lncRNA (ENSMPUG00000026660.1)". Lineage: Eukaryota; Metazoa; Chordata; Mammalia; Carnivora; Mustelidae. The record is from RNAcentral.